This 21-nucleotide non-coding RNA is filed under the name Caenorhabditis elegans. The record is from RNAcentral. Lineage: Eukaryota; Metazoa; Nematoda; Chromadorea; Rhabditida; Rhabditidae.
UAACAUAUCCAUAAUCCAUAU